ACAUCUCAAUUCAAUCUUAAUUUAAUUUUAGUUAAAAUCCUAUUGAAAUUUAUUCAAACUUUAGGCCAAAACUAAUUGAAUCUUAAAUCCUAAUAAAAUCCUAAAUCCUAAAUCAAACCCUAAAAAAACCUUAAACUAAACUCUAACCAAAUUCUAAAUCAAAUCCUAAUCAAAUUCUAAACCAAAUCCUAAACUAAACCCUAAAUCAAAUCCUAAAUCCUAAAUCAAAUCCUAAACCCUAAACCCUAAAUCAAACCCUAAUAAUUCCUACAACAGAUUUAAACCUCAAUAACUAAUGAAUAAACCAUUGAUCAUAAUUCAAAUUUUGCACACUUCUAAAAAAAUAAGUUAAAAAUAAGCACAAAAAAAUUUAAAAGGAUCGAAGUUAGCAAGUUGACGAUAACCUCAAAAAUGUGCUUAGGUAAUGGCCGACCUCCUUCUCCAAUCAUGAUACCAAUCUUCCAGAGCCAAUAUCUCUCUUUUGUACCGUUCGAUUGAUCUCAAAAUUCUCAUACGUAUAGAAAAUCAAGUCUAAUAUCCUCUCAUAUAAGUUUUACUCCAAUCCAACCAGUAGAUUGCAAGAAAUCUUAAAAACCUCUACUAGACCUAAAAUUCUAUCUUCUGAGACCUUGACCCACUUAAACUUUAAUAUUCCUCAAUUAAACCUUUAGAUCGAGUUCAAACUCACAACACAUAUUAAACACAACUAUAACCAUAAACCUACAUAAUUUCAUGUAUAGAUCUAUUACAAAACUCUUGAAAUCAUCCAAAACGUAAACCCUGUUUCAUUUCAUAAAAUCCAAGUCAUCCGAAACAAACCUUGACUUUGCAAAGCUCUUACAAAGUUAUAACAACUCCAAAUCA
This 864-nucleotide long non-coding RNA is filed under the name Physcomitrium patens. RNAcentral's name for it is "long non-coding RNA (PPAT_LNC012524)". Lineage: Eukaryota; Viridiplantae; Streptophyta; Bryopsida; Funariales; Funariaceae. The record is from RNAcentral.